RNAcentral lists this transfer RNA (65 nucleotides) under Echeneibothrium williamsi. RNAcentral describes it as "tRNA-Leu". The record is from RNAcentral. Lineage: Eukaryota; Metazoa; Platyhelminthes; Cestoda; Rhinebothriidea; Echeneibothriidae.
ACGGUUAUGUCAGAAUUAUAUGAGUUAGCUUUAAGCGUUAAUUAUGGGUUUAAACCCUAAUCGUU